GCAGCAGCUCCACUCGUGGCUUUUUUGGUCGUUAACUGGAGAUCAUUCUCAUGGACUUUCCCGCCCAGGCUGGCUUUGAACAGCAAUCCUCAGCUAUCAUCCUCCUGAGUAGCUAGGAUUACAGGCACAAGCCACCAGAACUUGGCUCAUACCUGGCUCUUUUUA
Long non-coding RNA from Perognathus longimembris pacificus (Pacific pocket mouse), 165 nucleotides. RefSeq lists it as uncharacterized. The record is from RefSeq and is a predicted model, not a curated record. Lineage: Eukaryota; Metazoa; Chordata; Mammalia; Rodentia; Heteromyidae. The transcript has 3 exons.